This is a non-coding RNA of Poecilia reticulata (guppy), 300 nucleotides long. The record is from RefSeq and is a predicted model, not a curated record. NCBI's taxonomy places the organism in Eukaryota, Metazoa, Chordata, Actinopteri, Cyprinodontiformes, Poeciliidae.
ACAAGACAAGAACGACUGUUACUAUACUGCUAAGAAAAAAAUAUAAAGUCAGGUUUUCAAAAGGAGAGAGAGAGAAAAACGACAAGAGGGUCAAUUUGUAGCCCAGUUUGUCUCCAAGAGAGGAAGCUAAAUGAAAGCAGUUUGAACAGGGAGUUCAAAGUUCAAGUUGCAGCGACAAGAGGAGGAAAUGCUGAUAAAAGGCCAGAGGUGUUCAGCAAGUUGGCUUACACUACAGCUGAUCUAGUAGUUGGUGCAGGGCAGGAAGUAGCUGUUUCUCAGCAGACGCAGCAUCCGCCCCGU